GUUUUACGCGAGUGUAAGUGAGUGGUUUCUUUACCUUCCCAAGAUUCUCUGGCUAUGUUGAAAGUCAGCCACUGGAUCCCAGCGUCGUGGACCACUUAAUGACACUGGCCAGAACCCGAAUUUCACGUCUCUGGACUUUCACUCCGAAGAGGCUGUCGACAGACUUCAGUGCAAGAUCUCCACGAUGCCAGAAUACAGCGGCCGAUGCUUCCUAUCCGGCUCUGAGGACCAAGAAAAUGUGAAGAGAAAGUUGCUAGAAGGCAAAGAAACUCAAACUCAAGAUAUCUUUUUCAUGCAUACAUGGACAAUCCCCCCUCAUCGCCCGAUCCAUCCUGCAGCAAUGUGUGCAGGACAGAUGUGACAGAGAGGAAAGACCGCCCAGGGCUUUCAGAGCUUUCUUUCUUUAUACUUAAGCAAGUUUUCAAGGAAGUAGGAGUGGCAUGUUCAGAAUAUAAAACAUUUCCAUAAAAGGAGAGACUGUUCGCUUGUCAGCUGAAACAGGAGAUAACUUGUUCAGGUUUCAGCAGGCUGAAGCGAGUCCGGAUCUGAUGUUUCAGGAACAACUCUGCUGGUGUACGACCCGUCACAGUGUGCGGUGUACUGCGAUACAUGAUAAGGAAGUUUGCCAAACGAUGACUGAGUGGCAAUGUGGCCUUACCAUCUGCUUCCAGCACAUUUUUCAUCAGGGAUCGUUUCAGGAUUUGUACUGACCUCUCUGCUGCCCCCGUUUGAUGCAGGAUGAUAGGCAGGAACAGCUGUGUGUCCGAUCCCAUUUAACUCCACGGUGUGCUCCAGACCUUGCUGAGGAUUGGAUCCUUCAUGGUUGCUCUCUCAAUGUCUUUAGCUACUAUUGGUAGCUCUUCCACAUGUGAGAAAUAGAAGAUACUUCCCUCCUCGGCAAUGUUUUCUGGCGUAUUCCGAGGUUAUGCAAAGGCUGAAGAAUGGUGGAUGGAUUUUCCAAAAAUCGACUGUAGUAAUUUAGAAGACCAAGAAAGGACUUCAGUUCAGUGACGUUUGUUGGUUCUGGUGCAUUUGCUAUGGCUGCUACCUUUUCCUCUAAAGGAUGCAGACCAUCCCUGUCAAUACGAUGUCCCAGGUACUCCACACUGCUCUGAAGAAAGUGGCACUUGGAAAGCUUCACUCUGACACCAUGCUUCUCCAGACGUGUGAGUACUUCCUCCAACCUCUUCAAAUGACCCCUUUCAGAUGAAGCAGUGAUGAGGAUGUCAUCCAAAAAGCAGGUGACAUGCUCCAUCCCCUGAAGGAUUUGAUCCAUCACAGACUGGAAAAGAGCCGGAGCACUGGAAACACCAUAGCUGAGGCGAUUGUACUUAUAGAGACCUUUGUGUGUGUUUAAGCAUAUUUGCACUGCAGAAGACAUAAUGUGGAUUGCACAACACUGGACAUUAUAUUCUUCAUUUCCAGUUAAUACUUGUACAACUGCUGUUAUUGUGUAUAUAUUUAUUUAUAUUUCUUCAUACAUUCUUAUAUAGUUCUAUAUUGUGUAUUUUGUUGUACAGUUAUUUUAUUUUCAACUUUAAUUUAUAUAUUUUAUCUUAUUCUUUCCCAGUUAAAUUUACCCUUCAUUCUAAUUUGUGUUGUACAGUUAUUUCCUUUUUAACCUUAAUUUAUAUUUUAUUCCUUCCUAGUAAAAUUUACCCUUUUUAAUUUUUCAUAUUUAUUUCCUAUCUUAUUCAUAGCCUUUUCCUUUUUUUGUUUUCUUUAGGUCACGAGCAGUUGUCCAAGCAUUUCACUACAUAUCAUACUGUGUAUGACUGUGUACGUGACAAAUAAAAUUUGAAUUUGAAAUUUGAUGCCCAGAUACUUCUCUGAUUCUUCAUCUAACUGUAGCUGCUGAUAGGCAUGAGAAAGGUCAAGUUUACUGAAGGAUGUUCCUCCAGCUAAAGUAGCAAACAAAUCUUCAGUAUUUGGAAGUGGAUAUCUUUCCUCUUCAACACACUGGUUGACACUGACUUUGUAGUCACCACAUAUCCUAAUUGUUUUGUCUGCUUUUGGCACAGUAACAAUAGGGGAUGCCCACUCACUUUUCUCAACCUUUGAAAUAACCUUCACCUUUUCCAAUCUGUCCAGCUCCUUUUCCACAGCUUCUUUUAGUGCAUAAGGAAC
Molecule: long non-coding RNA, 2127 nt
Organism: Astatotilapia calliptera (eastern happy)
Lineage: Eukaryota; Metazoa; Chordata; Actinopteri; Cichliformes; Cichlidae
Source: Ensembl